AAUAGAAAUAAAAAUGACUAUUUCCACGACGCGUUUGAUUUGUGUAAAGCUUGAACUAGGUCGAGUCAGAUGGAUCCAUAUCUCUACCCAAACCCAGCUCGAAUUUUAUUUCAGACUUCAAGUCUGGCUUUGGUCCAAUAUUUUUUUUAACAAAUCUAGAUUCAAACCUGGCUUGAGCCUAAGCCCAAGUCUUGCUCAAACCUGGUUGCGCCAGCUUGAGUGUAUAAACCCUAUUAGCUAUUUAUCUCACACUGAAGGUUGAGGGC
RNAcentral lists this long non-coding RNA (266 nucleotides) under Elaeis guineensis (African oil palm). RNAcentral's name for it is "long non-coding RNA (EGUI_LNC019354)". The record is from RNAcentral. Lineage: Eukaryota; Viridiplantae; Streptophyta; Magnoliopsida; Arecales; Arecaceae.